CAGUCGCCGCGGGAAUACGUAGGUGGCAAGCGUUGUCCGGAAUUAUUGGGCGUAAAGGGCUCGCAGGCGGUUUCUUAAGUCUGAUGUGAAAGCCCCCGGCUCAACCGGGGAGGGUCAUUGGAAACUGGGAAACUUGAGUGCAGAAGAGGAGAGUGGAAUUCCACGUGUAGCGGUGAAAUGUGUAGAGAUGUGGAGGAACACCAGUGGCGAAGGCGACUCUCUGGUCUGUAACUGACGCUGAGGAGCGAAAGUGUGGGGAGCGAACAGGAUUAGAUACCCCCGUAGUCCCUGUCUCUUAUAU
RNAcentral lists this ribosomal RNA (301 nucleotides) under uncultured bacterium. RNAcentral's name for it is "partial 16S ribosomal RNA". It matches the Rfam family "Bacterial small subunit ribosomal RNA", at positions 509 to 809 of the family's 1533-position model. The record is from RNAcentral.